Long non-coding RNA from Daphnia pulex (common water flea), 1910 nucleotides. RefSeq lists it as uncharacterized. NCBI's taxonomy places the organism in Eukaryota, Metazoa, Arthropoda, Branchiopoda, Diplostraca, Daphniidae. The record is from RefSeq and is a predicted model, not a curated record. The transcript is spliced from 5 exons.
UGUUUGUAUACUUAUCCACUCCUGGGGACUUAACUGGAAAACUUUCCAAUAAUGUUCGCAAUCUGUGCCAUCUACGAAGAGUUGGUAUCGACCCAAGCCGUGUAAUAUGCAUGUCCUCUGACGUCGAAAUCGUUACAAAAAUGGAAGAUGGAGUAAAUACGGAUCGUAACAGGAAAGGAUAGCGGAUAUUUACAAAUACGGGUGUACCUACUGAAUUUCACCAUGUUCUCUGGUGACGAAAUGUUGAAGAAAGGGGAACUGUAUGUUUAAAAACCUUUCCAUCGCAUUCGCAGCCAACCAUUGAUGCGUGGAAGGAACGUAACAACUCUUCUAUAUCGUUGAAGAGACGGACGGCGAAACACGGCCAAAAAUAAUCCGUCCCCCUGGUCAUGCUGCUCCAGCUCCAGCUCCUGCAUCAAUUGGCACUGCACUGCCCCAGAUUUGGCGUGCAUCUUUUCCAGCAUUGAUUAGACCUCCGCCGGAAUUUGGGGGAGCCAGACCGAAAAAUAUCCGCCCCCCUGGUCCUACUGCUCCAGCUCCAGCUCCUGCAUUAAUUGGCGCUGCACUGCCCCAGAUUUUGCGUGCAUCUUCGCCAGCAUUGAUUAGACCUCCACCGGAAUUUGAGGGAGCCAAAUGCUAUCUUACCGGCAUGUGUGAAGAAGCAACAUCUUGCAUGUUCUGUGACGUGAACCAACGUAAAAGUCAAAUCCGGUCGACGAAGUAAGAAGAAAAAAGAAGAAGAAAGUAUUACUGUUGUAGUCUCAAGCGUGAGUUGUUCGGUAAGCUACCAAAUUGUUAUCUCCUAGAAUUUGGGAUCCUGCUGCUCUACAGUAUAUAACAGAUGCAACGCGGGACGGAAGAAUUCCGUCAAAAGUUCGUUAGCGUGUAUACGACGAAUAUCACGUAGUUCUGAAGCCUAAAUCAGUGCAAAAUAUCAAGCGGAAAGUCAUUGACGAAUGGAAGAACGCCGUGGAUAUACUAAACGUUGUCUGUGAACCGUGAUACACCUGGCAGUGUCGUUAAAGUUGUUCAUGACGAAAACAACGAAGUAGCUCAAAUUGUCAUCCUGAACGAAGAUACAGCGCGAGUUAUUCCAAAAUUCGGUGAUUUGGUAGAGAUCGAUGGGACUUACAAGGUGACCAAAACAGGCAUGCCAGUAAACACCAUUUUAGUCGAAGACGAUUUUGUCAUUGGCAAACCUAUAUGCUAAUACAUGUGUUUGCGAGAAGAAACGAAAAUAAGCAUCAAGACAAGAGACAUUAAAAAUUAGAAUAUAGACAUUAAAAUAGAAAGAAACGAUUAAAAAUUUAACCGCAAUUUAAAAUCUAGCACAAUGACAUCAUCCACACGAAAGUAGUCCUUACAGAAGACUGUAAAGAGAUGAAUAAAAAGUUCAGGAGAUUUUCACUUCUGUAUUUCUGAGAUUGUGUCUCUUUCAUGUGUUAGCAGCUGUAGAUAAACGUUUCUCUCAAGCGAAGUUACGCAGGAAUCUUUGGGAAGUAAUUUUCAAGAAAUUUGAAUAAGCCAUCUACGCCACUUCAGAAAACAUAAUAAAAAGACUGUGAAACAUUUCUAAACCAUCACAAAACUCAAGAAUAUUGGAAAGCGUGAAAAUAAGCUGUGGAAAUGUGGAGAAAAAUCUGCUAGUCGCGACCUUCGGCAACACAAUGGGGAAGGGAAUAGGAAGGGGAACUCUUUUUUGGCAAAAGAUUCAGCCAUUCAGGAUGAUUAAUAGCUGUGAUACUAGAAAAGGCAUGAUCUGGACACGCACAAUUGUUAUUUCCAUCAAUCAACCAUAAAUUGAGGAUUUCCUUCUUUUUUUGUCAACUUUACUUUUUAAGACAGACGUUUGUUGACAGAAUGAAGUUGCAAGAUUAACGUCAAAUACACAGCCAAUUUAUGAAUUUAAA